This 254-nucleotide ribosomal RNA is filed under the name uncultured bacterium. Its description in RNAcentral is "partial 16S ribosomal RNA". It matches the Rfam family "Bacterial small subunit ribosomal RNA", at positions 524 to 776 of the family's 1533-position model. The record is from RNAcentral.
GACGUAGGAGACGAGCGUUGUCCGGAGUUACUGGGCGUAAAGCGCGCGCAGACGGUUCCGCGCGCCUCGUGUGAAAUCCCCCGGCUCAACCGGGGCGACGGCGCGAGGGACGGCGGAACUGGAGGCUGGUAGAGGCCGGUGGAAUUCGGGGUGUAGCGGUGAUAUGCGUAGAGACCCCGAGGAACACCCGCGGCGAAGGCGGCCGGCUGGGCCAGUCCUGACGUUGAGGCGCGAAGGCCGGGGGAGCGAACGGG